Molecule: ribosomal RNA, 253 nt
Filed under: uncultured bacterium
Lineage: Bacteria
Description: partial 16S ribosomal RNA
Rfam family: Bacterial small subunit ribosomal RNA
Source: RNAcentral
UACGGGGGGGGCAAGCGUUGUUCGGAAUUACUGGGCGUAAAGGGCUGGUAGGCGGCCAACUAAGUCCGACGUGAAAUCCCUGGGCUCAACCCAGGAACUGCGUCCAAGACUGGGAGGCUUGAAUCCGGGAGAGGGAUGCGGAAUUCCAGGUGUAGCGGUGAAAUGCGUAGAUAUCUGGAGGAACACCGGUGGCGAAGGCGGCAUCCUGGACCGGUAUUGACACUGAGGCGCGAAAGCCAGGGGAGCAAACGGG